Molecule: ribosomal RNA, 496 nt
Filed under: uncultured bacterium
Lineage: Bacteria
Description: partial 16S ribosomal RNA
Rfam family: Bacterial small subunit ribosomal RNA
Source: RNAcentral
AUGAACGCUGGCGGCGUGCCUAAUACAUGCACGUCGAGCGAACAGACGAGGAGCUUGCUCCUUUGACGUUAGCGGCGGACGGGUGAGUAACACGUAGGUAACCUACCUAUAAGACUGGGAUAACUUCGGGAAACCGGAGCUAAUACCGGAUAAUAUUUCGAACCGCAUGGUUCGAUAGUGAAAGAUGGCUUUGCUAUCACUUAUAGAUGGACCUGCGCCGUAUUAGCUAGUUGGUAAGGUAACGGCUUACCAAGGCAACGAUACAUAGCCGACCUGAGAGGGUGAUCGGCCACACUGGAACUGAGACACGGUCCAGACUCCUACGGGAGGCAGCAGUAGGGAAUCUUCCGCAAUGGGCGAAAGCCUGACGGAGCAACGCCGCGUGAGUGAUGAAGGUCUUCGGAUCGUAAAACUCUGUUAUUAGGGAAGAACAAACGUGUAAGUAACUGUGCACGUCUUGACGGUACCUAAUCAGAAAGCCACGGCUAACUACGUG